This 74-nucleotide transfer RNA is filed under the name Armatimonadota bacterium. It matches the Rfam family "tRNA". Rfam says of the family: Transfer RNA (tRNA) molecules are approximately 80 nucleotides in length. Their secondary structure includes four short double-helical elements and three loops (D, anti-codon, and T loops). The record is from Rfam by way of RNAcentral. Lineage: Bacteria; Bacillati; Armatimonadota.
GGCCCGGUCGUCUAGAGGCCUAGGAUGCCUCCCUUUCAAGGAGGAGACCACGGGUUCGAAUCCCGUCCGGGCUA